This 650-nucleotide long non-coding RNA is filed under the name Equus caballus (horse). Its description in RNAcentral is "lncRNA (ENSECAG00000052154.1)". The record is from RNAcentral. Lineage: Eukaryota; Metazoa; Chordata; Mammalia; Perissodactyla; Equidae.
UCCACGUCCAGGCUGAUGGGGGACCCUUUGCCUGAGGACCGGCUGAAGGUCUCCUUCCAGAAGUCUCUGGGGAGCCGGACAGUGGGUCCUGCAGGGCCUCUCCUGUCACCCUCGACGGGGCACUUCGACCAUGUGCGAUGGCGCUGUCUGGCCAGCCGUGACGCCGAGUGCGCUGGGAGAGGGUGUCGGGGGACAGUGUGUGACAGGCAUGCCCUGGAGCCUUGUCACUCCCCAGGCGCGGCGUCACCGAAGUUCACGGGGAUGGAGCCAGCUAAGUUUGGAAGCUGCUUGAUUCCUGGUGGCCCAGGCGUGUCCAGGUUCUGACCUCAGUAAAGAAAGCUGCCCACAGCUCUGCAGGAGGAGAAACCCAAGACUCGAUCUGAUUUUCUUCAUAUCCUUCAAAUGAAACAACAUAUCAUAACAGACAGAAUGGAAAAUCAGCCAUGGGGUAAAACCUUACUUGUUUAUAAUGUUAUCAUUCUUUGUGUAGAUUGGUAUGUUCAAUUUGCUAAUCUUUUGUUGAGAAAAUGUUAAGAGCUUUGUUGAGGUAUCAUUGAUAUAUAAUAAAUUGUACAUGUUUAAAGUGUAUAUUUGCUAAGUUUUCACAUAUGCGUACCCUAGUGAAAACAUCACUGUAACCACGAUAAUAA